GACGAACGCUGGCGGCGUGCUUAACACAUGCAAGUCGAACGGAAAGGCCCUGCUUUUGUGGGGUGCUCGAGUGGCGAACAGGUGUGUAACACGUGAGUAACCUGCCCUUGACUUUGGGAUAACUUCAGGAAACUGGGGCUAAUACCGGAUAGGAGCUCCUGCUGCAUGGUGGGGGUUGGAAAGUUUCGGCGGUUGGGGAUGGACUCGCGGCUUAUCAGCUUGUUGGUGGGGUAGUGGCUUACCAAGGCUUUGACGGGUAGCCGGACUGAGAGGGUGACCGGCCACAUUGGGACUGAGGUACGGGCCAGACUCCUACGGGAGGCAGCAGUGGGGAAUAUUGCACAAUGGGCGGAAGCCUGAUGCAGCAACGCCGCGUGCGGGAUGACGGCCUUCGGGUUGUAAACCGCGUUCGCCUGUGACGAAGCGUGAGUGACGGUAAUGGGUAAAGAAGCACCGGCUAACUACGUG
This 468-nucleotide ribosomal RNA is filed under the name uncultured bacterium. RNAcentral describes it as "partial 16S ribosomal RNA". It matches the Rfam family "Bacterial small subunit ribosomal RNA", at positions 28 to 507 of the family's 1533-position model. The record is from RNAcentral.